GACGAACGCUGGCGGCGUGCUUAACACAUGCAAGUCGAACGAUGAACCCGGAGCUUGCUCUGGGGGAUUAGUGGCGAACGGGUGAGUAACACGUGAGUAACCUGCCCUGGACUCUGGGAUAAGCGUUGGAAACGACGUCUAAUACCGGAUAGGACCUUGGAUCGCAUGAUCUGGGGUGGAAAGUUUUUUCGGUCUGGGAUGGACUCGCGGCCUAUCAGCUUGUUGGUGAGGUAAUGGCUCACCAAGGCGUCGACGGGUAGCCGGCCUGAGAGGGUGACCGGCCAGACUGGGACUGAGACACGGCCCAGACUCCUACGGGAGGCAGCAGUGGGGAAGAUUGCACAAUGGGCGAAAGCCUGAUGCAGCAACGCCGCGUGCGGGAUGACGGCCUUCGGGUUGUAAACCGCUUUUAGUAGGGAAGAAGGGCUUCGGCUUGACGGUACCUGCAGAAAAAGGACCGGCUAACUACGUG
Molecule: ribosomal RNA, 472 nt
Filed under: uncultured bacterium
Lineage: Bacteria
Description: partial 16S ribosomal RNA
Rfam family: Bacterial small subunit ribosomal RNA
Source: RNAcentral